This 363-nucleotide transfer-messenger RNA is filed under the name Escherichia coli. It matches the Rfam family "transfer-messenger RNA". From Rfam's summary of the family: Bacterial tmRNA, also known as 10Sa RNA or SsrA, is named for its dual tRNA and mRNA-like properties. Its role is to liberate the mRNA from a stalled ribosome. Lineage: Bacteria; Pseudomonadati; Pseudomonadota; Gammaproteobacteria; Enterobacterales; Enterobacteriaceae. The record is from RNAcentral.
GGGGCUGAUACUGGAUUCGACGGGAUUUGCGAAACCCAAGGUGCAUGCCGAGGGGCGGUUGGCCUCGUAAAAAGCCGCAAAAAAUAGUCGCAAACGACGAAAACUACGCUUUAGCAGCUUAAUAACCUGCUUAGAGCCCUCUCUCCCUAGCCUCCGCUCUUAGGACGGGGAUCAAGAGAGGUCAAACCCAAAAGAGAUCGCGUGGAAGCCCUGCCUGGGGUUGAAGCGUUAAAACUUAAUCAGGCUAGUUUGUUAGUGGCGUGUCCGUCCGCAGCUGGCAAGCGAAUGUAAAGACUGACUAAGCAUGUAGUACCGAGGAUGUAGGAAUUUCGGACGCGGGUUCAACUCCCGCCAGCUCCACCA